RNAcentral lists this ribosomal RNA (457 nucleotides) under uncultured bacterium. Its description in RNAcentral is "partial 16S ribosomal RNA". It matches the Rfam family "Bacterial small subunit ribosomal RNA", at positions 338 to 795 of the family's 1533-position model. The record is from RNAcentral.
CCUACGGGAGGCUGCAGUGGGGAAUAUUGCACAAUGGGGGAACCCCUGAUGCAGCGACGCCGCGUGCGUGAAGAAGUAUUUCGGGAUGUAAAGCUCUAUCAGCAGGGAAGAAACCCACCCUCCGGGGUGGCUGACUGUACCUUACUAACAAGCCCCGGCGAGCUACGUUCCAGCCGCCGCGGUACUACGUAGGGGACAAGCGUUAUCCGGAUUUACUGGGUGUAAAGGGAGCGUAGGUGGCAAGGCAAGUCAGAUGUGAAAACCCGGGGCACAACCCCGGGAGUGCAUUUGAAACUGUCUGGCUAGAGUGCAGGAGAGGUAAGGGGAAUUCAUAGUGGAGCGGUGGAAUGCGGAGAUAUUAGGAAGAACACCAGUGGCGAAGGCGAUAUGCUGGAGUGUAACUGACACUGAGGCACGAAAGUGUGGGGAGCAAACAGGAUUAGAUACCCGAGUAGUC